UUUCUGGUUGAUCCUGCCGGAGGCGACCGCUAUUGGAGUUCGAUUAAGCCAUGCGAGUCGAGAGUCUUAGGGACUCGGCAUACUGCUCAGUAACACGUGGAUAACCUGCCCUAUGCAAGGGGAUAACCUCGAGAAAUUGAGAAUAAUACCCUAUAGGUCACCAUGCCUGGAACGGUUGGUGACUAAAAGUUCAGGCGGCAUAGGAUGGGUCUGCGGCGUAUCAGGUUGUAGUGGGUGUAAUGUACCUACUAGCCAUUGACGCGUACGGGUGUUGGGAGACAUAGCCCGGAGAUGGAUUCUGAGACACGAAUCCAGACCCUACGGGGUGCAGCAGGCGCGAAAACUUCACACUGCAGGAAACUGUGAUGAGGGAACUCCAAGUGGUGCGGCAAAAUGUCGCAUCUUUUCUUAACUUUUAACAGGUUUUGGAAUAAGGGCUGGGAAAGACCGGUGCCAGCCGCCGCGGUAAUACCGGCAGCUCAAGUGGUCGUCGCUUUUAUUGGGCCUAAAACGUCCGUAGCCUGUUUAGUAAAUCCGUGGGUAAAUCAACGAGCUUAACUCGUUGACUUCUGCGGACACUGCUAGACUUGGGACCGGGAGAGGUGUGGGGUACUCAUGGGGUAGGGGUAAAAUCCUGUCAUCCCAUGAGGACCACCAGUUGCGAAGGCGCCACACUAGAACGGAUCCGACGGUCAGGGACGAAGCCUAGGGGCACGAACCGGAUUAGAUACCCGGGUAGUCCUAGGUGUAAACGCUGUGGACUUGGUGUCGGGGAUCCUCUAAGGGUUUCCGGUGCCGCAGCGAAGGUGUUAAGUCCACUGCCUGGGGAGUACGGUCGCAAGGCUGAAACUUAAAGGAAUUGGCGGGGGAGCACUGCAACGGGAGGAGCGUGCGGUUUAAUUGGAUUCAACGCCGGG
This 917-nucleotide ribosomal RNA is filed under the name uncultured archaeon. Its description in RNAcentral is "bacterial SSU rRNA". It matches the Rfam family "Archaeal small subunit ribosomal RNA", at positions 1 to 922 of the family's 1478-position model. The record is from RNAcentral.